This 114-nucleotide ribosomal RNA is filed under the name uncultured bacterium. Its description in RNAcentral is "partial 16S ribosomal RNA". It matches the Rfam family "Bacterial small subunit ribosomal RNA", at positions 1360 to 1482 of the family's 1533-position model. The record is from RNAcentral.
CGGUGAAUACGUUCCCGGGCCUUGUACACACCGCCCGUCAAGCCAUGGAAGCUGGGGGUGCCUGAAGUGCGUAACCGCAAGAAGCGUCCUAGGGUAAAACCGGUAACUGGGGCU